RNAcentral lists this ribosomal RNA (778 nucleotides) under uncultured Neocallimastigales. RNAcentral's name for it is "partial large subunit ribosomal RNA". It matches the Rfam family "Eukaryotic large subunit ribosomal RNA", at positions 19 to 637 of the family's 3401-position model. Lineage: Eukaryota; Fungi; Neocallimastigomycota; Neocallimastigomycetes; Neocallimastigales. The record is from RNAcentral.
CGAGCACGCGCGUGUGGCAUAUCAAUAAGCGGAGGAAAAGAAACUAACAAGGAUUCCCUUAGUGACGGCGAGUGAAGCGGGAAGAGCUCAAAUUUGAAAUCUUCAAGGUUCUACCUUGACGAAUUGUAGUUUAUAGAAGUGUUUUCUGUUAGUGGAGUGGCAAAAGUUCUUUGGAAUAGGACAUCAUAGAGGGUGAGGAUCCCGUAUUUGGUCAUUCCUCCUAGCGUUGUGAUACACUUUCAACGAGUCGGAUUGUUUGGGAAUGCAGUCCAAAAUGGGUGGUAAAUUUCAUCUAAAGCUAAAUAUUGGCGAGAGACCGAUAGCGAACAAGUACCGUGAGGGAAAGAUGAAAAGAACUUUGAAAAGAGAGUUAAACAGUACGUGAAAUUGUCAAAAGGGAAGCGUUUGACACCAGUGUUGUUUUUCCGAAAAUCAAUUACGAAUGUUUUAGUUUUUGAGGAGUUAUGACUUCAUCGGCUUGCUCCUUUCUUUACUGAAACUUUCUUAAUGCACUUUUCGGUUAACAAGUCAACAUCAAUUUCUUUUGUUGUAAAAGGGUAUGAGGAAGGUGGCUUUCUUUUCGGAGAAAGUGUUUAUAGCCUUGUGCCUCUGCAAUCGGAGAGAUUGAGGUCUGCAGCGUAGAUCCUUCGGGGUUAGAUACAUUUGUGCUAAGUUAUAGCUUGUCAUAGACAACUUGUUGACUAUGUUCAGUCAUUGUAGCUUACUCGCUUACUGCUAUUUUACCUACGCUUAGGAUGUUGAGCGCAUGUCUCUCUCU